This 253-nucleotide ribosomal RNA is filed under the name uncultured bacterium. Its description in RNAcentral is "partial 16S ribosomal RNA". It matches the Rfam family "Bacterial small subunit ribosomal RNA", at positions 524 to 776 of the family's 1533-position model. The record is from RNAcentral.
UACGGAGGAGGCAAGCGUUAUCCGGAAUUAUUGGGCGUAAAGCGUCCGUAGGUGGUUGGCCAAGUCUGCUGUCAAAGGGUGGGGCUUAACCUCAUAAAGGCAGUGGAAACUGGCGAGUUAGAGUGCGGUAGGGGUAGUGGGAAUUCCCUGUGUAGAGGUGAAAUGCGUAGAGAUUGGGAAAAACAUCGGUGGCGAAAGCGCCCUGCUGGGCCUGCACUGACACUGUGGGAUGAAAGCUAGGGGAGCGAAAGGG